UGAACGCUGGCGGCGUGCUUAACACAUGCAAGUCGAACGAAACACCUUAUUUGAUUUUCUUCGGAACUGAAGAUUUGGUGAUUGAGUGGCGGACGGGUGAGUAACGCGUGGGUAACCUGCCCUGUACAGGGGGAUAACAGUCAGAAAUGACUGCUAAUACCGCAUAAGACCACAGCACCGCAUGGUGCAGGGGUAAAAACUCCGGUGGUACAGGAUGGACCCGCGUCUGAUUAGCUGGUUGGUGAGGUAACGGCUCACCAAGGCGACGAUCAGUAGCCGGCGUGAGAGAGUGAACGGCCACAUUGGGACUGAGACACGGCCCAAACUCCUACGGGAGGCAGCAGUGGGGAAUAUUGCACAAUGGGGGAAACCCUGAUGCAGCGACGCCGCGUGAGUGAAGAAGUAUUUCGGUAUGUAAAGCUCUAUCAGCAGGGAAGAAAAUGACGGUACCUGACUAAGAAGCCCCGGCUAACUACGUG
Molecule: ribosomal RNA, 479 nt
Filed under: uncultured bacterium
Lineage: Bacteria
Description: partial 16S ribosomal RNA
Rfam family: Bacterial small subunit ribosomal RNA
Source: RNAcentral